RNAcentral lists this unclassified non-coding RNA (203 nucleotides) under Hevea brasiliensis (rubber tree). The record is from RNAcentral. Lineage: Eukaryota; Viridiplantae; Streptophyta; Magnoliopsida; Malpighiales; Euphorbiaceae.
UGGUAAGUACCUCACCGCUUCUAACCAGCCUUUUCUUCUUGGCAUGACUGGUCGCAAGGUCCUUCAGACUUUGCCCAGGAGGCUUGAUUCCUCCGUCGACUGGGAACCCAUCAGGGAUGGGACUCAGGUUAAGCUCAAGACCCGGUAUGGAAACUUCUUGAGAGCCAACGGGGGACUCCCGCCUUGGAGAAAUUCGGUGACUC